GCGAACGCUAGCGGCAGGCCUAACACAUGCAAGUCGAACGGCUCUUCGGAGCAGUGGCGGACGGGUGAGUAACACGUGGGAACGUGCCCUUUGGUACGGAACAACUGAGGGAAACUUCAGCUAAUACCGUAUGUGCCCUUCGGGGGAAAGAUUUAUCGCCAUUGGAGCGGCCCGCGUUGGAUUAGGUAGUUGGUGGGGUAAUGGCCCACCAAGCCUACGAUCCAUAGCUGGUCUGAGAGGAUGAUCAGCCACACUGGGACUGAGACACGGCCCAGACUCCUACGGGGGGCAGCAGUGGGGAAUCUUGCGCAAUGGGCGAAAGCCUGACGCAGCCAUGCCGCGUGUAUGAUGAAGGUCUUAGGAUUGUAAAAUACUUUCACCGGGGAAGAUAAUGACGGUACCCGGAGAAGAAGCCCCGGCUAACUUCGU
Molecule: ribosomal RNA, 429 nt
Filed under: uncultured bacterium
Lineage: Bacteria
Description: bacterial SSU rRNA
Rfam family: Bacterial small subunit ribosomal RNA
Source: RNAcentral